AUUGAACGCUGGCGGAAUGCUUUACACAUGCCAGUCGAGCGGCAGCGCGGCCUUCGGGCUGGCGGCGAGCGGCGAACGGGUGAGUAAUGCAUCGGAACAUGCCCAGUCGUGGGGGAUAACACUUCGAAAGAAGUGCUAAUACCGCAUACGUCCUGAGGGGGAAAGCGGGGGAUCGCAAGACCUCGCGCGAUUGGAGUGGCCGAUGUCAGAUUAGCUAGUUGGUGGGGUAAAGGCCUACCAAGGCGACGAUCUGUAGCUGGUCUGAGAGGAUGAUCAGCCACACUGGGACUGAGACACGGCCCAGACUCCUACGGGAGGCAGCAGUGGGGAAUUUUGGACAAUGGGGGCAACCCUGAUCCAGCCAUGCCGCGUGAGUGAAGAAGGCCUUCGGGUUGUAAAGCUCUUUCGGCAGGAACGAAACGGUGGGCUCUAACAUAGUCCGCUAAUGACGGUACCUGAAGAAGAAGCACCGGCUAACUACGUG
This 484-nucleotide ribosomal RNA is filed under the name uncultured bacterium. RNAcentral's name for it is "partial 16S ribosomal RNA". It matches the Rfam family "Bacterial small subunit ribosomal RNA", at positions 29 to 507 of the family's 1533-position model. The record is from RNAcentral.